Molecule: long non-coding RNA, 311 nt
Filed under: Brassica napus (rape)
Lineage: Eukaryota; Viridiplantae; Streptophyta; Magnoliopsida; Brassicales; Brassicaceae
Description: long non-coding RNA (BNAP_LNC011268)
Source: RNAcentral
GAGCCAGUCCGUGAGCGAUAACUCAUUUUGACACGCUUACUUUGAAUUAUGUGUUUAGCUACGUAAUUUUUCACCGACUGGAAAUAUAAACGAAAGUUUUAGUAAAACAAACUAAAUCGAACUAUUAACCAUAUGCAAAACCCGGUUAUUUACAUUUUUGACUUUUAUAAUUUGCACAAAGUUAAUGUUAAUCAAGUAAUAAAUACAAAACUUCAUUAUUACUUUUAUGACAAUAUAAUUAAUAAUUUGAUGUAUUGUUAAGGCAAAUAUAAUUUAUGAUGUAAUGUGAUGUAUUGUUUAGGUAAUAUAAU